This 637-nucleotide ribosomal RNA is filed under the name uncultured bacterium. RNAcentral's name for it is "bacterial SSU rRNA". It matches the Rfam family "Bacterial small subunit ribosomal RNA", at positions 607 to 1244 of the family's 1533-position model. The record is from RNAcentral.
GCUUAACCGAAGAAGUGCAUCGGAAACUGGGUGACUUGAGUGCGGAAGAGGACAGUGGAACUCCAUGUGUAGCGGUGGAAUGCGUAGAUAUAUGGAAGAACACCAGUGGCGAAGGCGGCUGUCUGGUCUGCAACUGACGCUGAGGCUCGAAAGCAUGGGUAGCGAACAGGAUUAGAUACCCUGGUAGUCCAUGCCGUAAACGAUGAGUGCUAGGUGUUGGAGGGUUUCCGCCCUUCAGUGCCGGAGCUAACGCAUUAAGCACUCCGCCUGGGGAGUACGACCGCAAGGUUGAAACUCAAAGGAAUUGACGGGGGCCCGCACAAGCGGUGGAGCAUGUGGUUUAAUUCGAAGCUACGCGAAGAACCUUACCAGGUCUUGACAUCUUGCGCUAACCUAAGAGAUUAGGUGUUCCCUUCGGGGACGCAAUGACAGGUGGUGCAUGGUCGUCGUCAGCUCGUGUCGUGAGAUGUUGGGUUAAGUCCCGCAACGAGCGCAACCCUUGUUACUAGUUGCCAGCAUUCAGUUGGGCACUCUAGUGAGACUGCCGGUGACAAACCGGAGGAAGGUGGGGACGACGUCAGAUCAUCAUGCCCCUUAUGACCUGAGCUACACACGUGCUACAAUGGUCGGUACAACG